GACGAACGCUGGCGGCGUGCCUAAUACAUGCAAGUAGAACGCACAGUUUAUACCGUAGCUUGCUACACCAUAGACUGUGAGUUGCGAACGGGUGAGUAACGCGUAGGUAACCUGCCUGGUAGCGGGGGAUAACUAUUGGAAACGAUAGCUAAUACCGCAUAAUAUUAAUUAUUGCAUGAUAAUUAAUUGAAAGGUGCAAUUGCACCACUACCAGAUGGACCUGCGUUGUAUUAGCUAGUAGGUGAGGUAACGGCUCACCUAGGCGACGAUACAUAGCCGAACUGAGAGGGUGAUCGGCCACACUGGGACUGAGAACCGGCCCAGACUCCUACGGGAGGCAGCAGUAGGGAAUCUUCGGCAAUGGACGAAAGUCUGACCGAGCAACGCCGCGGGAGUGAAGAAGGUUUUCGGAUCGUAAAGCUCUGUUGUAAGAGAAGAACGGGUGUGAGAGUGGAAAGUUCACACUGUGACGGUAUCUUACCAGAAAGGGACGGCUAACUACGUG
Molecule: ribosomal RNA, 505 nt
Filed under: uncultured bacterium
Lineage: Bacteria
Description: partial 16S ribosomal RNA
Rfam family: Bacterial small subunit ribosomal RNA
Source: RNAcentral